UACGGGAGGCAGCAGUGGGGAAUAUUGGACAAUGGGCGCAAGCCUGAUCCAGCCAUACCGCGUGGGUGAAGAAGGCCUUCGGGUUGUAAAGCCCUUUUGUUGGGAAAGAAGUCCAGCUGGUUAAUACCCGGUUGGGAUGACGGUACCCAAAGAAUAAGCACCGGCUAACUUCGUGCCAGCAGCCGCGGUAAU
RNAcentral lists this ribosomal RNA (192 nucleotides) under uncultured Stenotrophomonas sp. RNAcentral describes it as "partial 16S ribosomal RNA". It matches the Rfam family "Bacterial small subunit ribosomal RNA", at positions 340 to 524 of the family's 1533-position model. The record is from RNAcentral. Lineage: Bacteria; Pseudomonadati; Pseudomonadota; Gammaproteobacteria; Lysobacterales; Lysobacteraceae.